UCUGCCUGUAGAAGUACUACAAAUGUGGCUGCUGUGUGCCUGCAGUAUGUCAGUAGGUGGCAGAGAGGAGAAAGGCUAUAUGCAGUGUACCAGUGUUUUGACCUAUAAAUAUCUGAGUGAUUAGAAGCCUGAAAAA
Molecule: small nucleolar RNA, 136 nt
Organism: Mastomys coucha (southern multimammate mouse)
Lineage: Eukaryota; Metazoa; Chordata; Mammalia; Rodentia; Muridae
Product: small nucleolar RNA SNORA17
Exons: 1
Source: RefSeq, a predicted model, not a curated record